RNAcentral lists this ribosomal RNA (460 nucleotides) under uncultured bacterium. RNAcentral describes it as "partial 16S ribosomal RNA". It matches the Rfam family "Bacterial small subunit ribosomal RNA", at positions 338 to 795 of the family's 1533-position model. The record is from RNAcentral.
CCUACGGGUGGCAGCAGUGAGGAAUAUUGGUCAAUGGACGCAAGUCUGAACCAGCCAAGCAGCGUGCAGGAAGACGGCUCUAUGAGUUGUAAACUGCUUUUGUACGAGGGUAAACGCAGAUACGCGUAUCUGUCUGAAAGUAUCGUAAGAAUAAGGAUCGGCUAACUCAGUGCCAGCAGCCGCGGUAAUACGGAGGAUUCAAGCGUUAUCCUGAUUUAUUGGGUUUAAAGGGUGCGUAGGCGGGCGGAUAAGUCAGAGGUGAAAUCCCGAGGCUCAACCUCGGAAUUGCCUUUGAUACUGUUCGUCUAGAGUGUAGUUGCGGUAGGCGGAAUGUAUGGUGUAGCGGUGAAAUGCUUAGAGAUCAUACAGAACACCGAUUGCGAAGGCAGCUUACCAAGCUACUUCUGACAUUGAUGCUCGAAAGUGUGGGUAUCAAACAGGAUUAGAUACCCCGGUAGUC